RNAcentral lists this ribosomal RNA (407 nucleotides) under uncultured bacterium. RNAcentral describes it as "partial 16S ribosomal RNA". It matches the Rfam family "Bacterial small subunit ribosomal RNA", at positions 30 to 526 of the family's 1533-position model. The record is from RNAcentral.
AUUGAACGCUGGCGGCAGGCCUAACACAUGCAAGUCGAGCGGAGCGGCGGACGGGUGAGUAAUGACUAGGAAUCUGCCUGGUAGUGGGGGAUAACGUCCGGAAACGGGCGCUAAUACCGCAUACUAUCAGAUGAGCCUAGGCCGGAUUAGCUAGUGUGUGGGGUAAAGGCAUACCACGGCGACGAUCCGUAAAUGGUCUGAGAGGAUGAGCAGUCACACUGGAAUUGAGACACGGUCCAGACUCCUACGGGAGGCAGCAGUGGGGAAUAUUGGACAAUGGGCGAAAGCCUGAUCCAGCCAUGCCGCGUGUGUGAAGAAGGUCUUCGGAUUGUAAAGCACUUUAAGCUGGGAGGCGUUACCAACAGAAUAAGCACCGGCUAACUUCGUGCCAGCCGCCGCGGUAAUUC